GUUAAGUUUUUAAACCUGAAUUAUUAUUAGUUAAGUUCUUGAAAAUUAAAAUAGAUGGCGGUAUUUUAGUCUAUUCAGAGGAAUCUGCCCUGUAAUUGAUAUUCCACGAUUUUAUAAACUUGGGGUUUUAGCUUGCAUAUCGCUGUGAAUUGAAUAUUUUUGUUGAAUUUUAAUAUUCAUAAUUUUUGUUGAAAGGAUAUCAAGUCAAGAUGUAGCUUAUACCUAAGGGUGAGGUGGAUUACAAUAAAUUUAUUUAUGGUCAGGCUUUUGUAAAGGGUUUGUAAAUUGGAUUUGAAAGUAAUUUUUUAUUAAAAUUUGAUAAAUGAUUAAAGCUCUAAAAUA
This 342-nucleotide ribosomal RNA is filed under the name Webbia quattuordecimspinata. RNAcentral's name for it is "partial 12S ribosomal RNA". The record is from RNAcentral. Lineage: Eukaryota; Metazoa; Arthropoda; Insecta; Coleoptera; Curculionidae.